UUUCCGUAGGCGAAUCUGCGGAAGGAUCAUUCAUAAUAAGUGUUUUAUGGCACUUUUUUAAAUCCAUAUCCACCUUGUGUGCAAUGUCAGGGUUGAUUUUUCUCUCGAGAGGAUCAACCCCAAACAUCAACUAUAUCUCAACUCUUUGUCUGAAAAAUAUUAUGAAUAAAACAAUUCAAAAUACAACUUUCAACAACGGAUCUCUUGGCUCUC
This 213-nucleotide unclassified non-coding RNA is filed under the name plant metagenome. RNAcentral describes it as "partial contains small subunit ribosomal RNA, internal transcribed spacer 1, and 5.8S ribosomal RNA". The record is from RNAcentral.